Molecule: unclassified non-coding RNA, 359 nt
Filed under: Hevea brasiliensis (rubber tree)
Lineage: Eukaryota; Viridiplantae; Streptophyta; Magnoliopsida; Malpighiales; Euphorbiaceae
Source: RNAcentral
UAUGUUGUUGGAAGUGCUGGAAGCAAACACAAGGUUGAUCUAUUGAAGAAUAAGUUUGGUUUUGAUGAUGCUUUCAACUAUAAGGAAGAGCCGGAUUUAGAUGCUGCUUUGAAAAGGUACUUUCCUGAAGGAAUAGAUAUAUACUUCGAAAAUGUUGGAGGAAAGAUGCUUGAUGCAGUGCUGCUCAACAUGAGGGUCCAUGGGCGAAUUUCUGUUUGUGGAAUGAUCUCACAAUACAACCUUGAGCAGCCUGAAGGUGUGCACAACUUGAUGCAACUCGUUGUAAAACGAAUUCGCAUGGAAGGAUUCAUGGUACAUGAUUAUUAUCACCUAUACUCAAAAUAUCUGGAAAUGGUCUU